RNAcentral lists this ribosomal RNA (1462 nucleotides) under uncultured Bordetella sp. Its description in RNAcentral is "partial 16S-23S ribosomal RNA intergenic spacer". It matches the Rfam family "Bacterial small subunit ribosomal RNA". The record is from RNAcentral. Lineage: Bacteria; Pseudomonadati; Pseudomonadota; Betaproteobacteria; Burkholderiales; Alcaligenaceae.
GGCUGAUCACGCGGCUCAGAUUGAACGCCGGCGGAUGCUUUACACAUGCAAGUCGAACGGCAGCAUCGACUUCGGUCUGGCAUGAGUGGCGAACGGCAGGAGUAAAAUGUAUCGGUAAACGCUCUAGUAGCGGGGAUAACUACGCGCAGCGUAGCUAAUACCGGCAUACGCUCCUCGGGGGAAAGUGGGGACCUUUCGCCUUCGCACUAUUAGGAGCGGCCGAUAUCGAUUAGCUGGUUGGGUGGGCAACUGCUCCACCGCGACGAUCCGUAGCUGUUUGAGGAGGCACGACCAGCCACACUGUAUCGGCGGAUACGGCCCAGACUCGCACGGGAGGCAGCAGUGGGGAAUUUUGGGACAAUGGGGGAAACCCUGAUCCAGCCAUCUGGCGGUGAUGAAGGCCUUCGGGUUGUAAAGCACUUUGGCAGGAAGAAACGGCACGGGAUAAUACCCCCGUGCAACUGACGGUACCUGCAGAAUAAGCACCGGCUAACUACCGUGCCAGCAGCCGCGGUAAUACGUAGGGUGCAAGCGUUAAUUCAACCGGCGAAGCAGCAGGCGGUUCGGAAAGAAAGAUGUGAAAUCCCAGAGCUUAACUUUGGAACUGCAUUUUUAACUACCGAGCUAGAGUGGGCCAGAGGGAGGUGGAAUUCCGCGUAGCAGUGAAAUGCGUAGAUAUGCGGAGAACGCAUCGGUGGCGAAGGCAGCCUCUCAAGAUAACACUUGACGUCGGCGCACGAAAGCGGGGAGCAAAUGAUUGGAUAAUUCCGGUAGUCCACGCCCUAAACGAUGUCAACUAGAGCUGUUGGGGCCUUUCGGGCCUUGGUAGCGCAGCCAACGCGUGAAGUUGACCGCCUGUGGAGAUGGCCGCAAGAUUAAAACCUCAGCGGAAUCGGACGGGGACCCGCACAAGCGGUGGAUGAUGUGGAUUAACGAUGCACGCCAAAAUCGCCACCACCCUUGACAUGUCUGGAAUCCCGAAGAGAUUUGGGGGAGUGCUCGCAAGAGAACCGGAACACAGGUGCUGCAUGGCUGUCGCCGUCGUGUCGAGAUGUUGGGUUAAGUCCCGCAACGAGCGCAACCCUUGUCAUUAGUUGCUACGAAGGGCACCCAUGAGACUGCCGGUGACAAACCGGAGGAAGGUGGGGAUGACGUCAAGUCCUCGCGGCCUAUGGGUAGGGUCAUGUCAUACAAUGGUCGGGACAGAGGGUCGCCAACCCGCGAGGGGGAGCAAUCCCAGAAACCCGAUCGUAGUCCGGAUCGCAGUCUGCAACCUGACUGCGUGAAGUCGGAAUCGCUAGUAAUCGCGGAUCAGCAUAUCGCAGGAAUACGUUCCCCGGUCUGUACACCGCCCGUCACACCAUGGGAGUGGGUUUUACCAGAAAGUAGUUAGCCUCCAAAUCGCAAGGAGGGCGAUUACCAAUGGUAGGAUUCAUGACUGGGUGAAGUCGUAACAAGGUAG